Molecule: ribosomal RNA, 492 nt
Filed under: uncultured bacterium
Lineage: Bacteria
Description: partial 16S ribosomal RNA
Rfam family: Bacterial small subunit ribosomal RNA
Source: RNAcentral
AGUGAACGCUGGCGGUAGGCCUAACACAUGCAAGUCGAACGGCAGCACAGUAAGAGCUUGCUCUUACGGGUGGCGAGUGGCGGACGGGUGAGGAAUACAUCGGAAUCUACUUUUUCGUGGGGGAUAACGUAGGGAAACUUACGCUAAUACCGCAUACGACCUACGGGUGAAAGCAGGGGAUCUUCGGACCUUGCGCGAUUGAAUGAGCCGCUGUCGGAUUAGCUAGUUGGCGGGGUAAAGGCCCACCAAGGCGACGAUCCGUAGCUGGUGUGAGAGGAUGAUCAGCCACACUGGAACUGAGACACGGUCCAGACUCCUACGGGAGGCAGCAGUGGGGAAUAUUGGACAAUGGGCGCAAGCCUGAUCCAGCCAGACCGCGUGGGUGAAGAAGGCCUUCGGGUUGUAAAGCCCUUUUGUUGGGAAAGAAAAGCAGCAGGUUAAUACCCCGCUGUUCUGACGGUACCCAAAGAAUAAGCACCGGCUAACUUCGUG